Molecule: ribosomal RNA, 600 nt
Filed under: uncultured bacterium
Lineage: Bacteria
Description: bacterial SSU rRNA
Rfam family: Bacterial small subunit ribosomal RNA
Source: RNAcentral
AUUGAACGCUGGCGGCAGGCCUAACACAUGCAAGUCGAGCGCGAAAGGUCUUCGGACUGAGUAGAGCGGCGGACGGGUGAGUAACGCGUAGGAAUCUACCUAGUAGUGGGGGACAACCUGUGGAAACGCAGGCUAAUACCGCAUACGCCCUACGGGGGAAAGCGGGGGAUCUUCGGACCUCGUGCUAUUAGAUGAGCCUGCGUAAGAUUAGCUAGUUGGUGAGGUAAAGGCUCACCAAGGCGACGAUCUUUAGCUGGUCUGAGAGGAUGAUCAGUCACACUGGAACUGAGACACGGUCCAGACUCCUACGGGAGGCAGCAGUGGGGAAUAUUGCACAAUGGGGGAAACCCUGAUGCAGCCAUGCCGUGUGUGUGAAGAAGGCUCUAGGGUUGUAAAGCACUUUCAGCGGGGAGGAAAGGUUGUAAUUUAAUAGAUUGCAGCUGUGACGUUACCCGCAGAAGAAGCACCGGCUAACUCCGUGCCAGCAGCCGCGGUAAUACGGAGGGUGCAAGCGUUAGUCGGAAUUACUGGGCGUAAAGCGCGCGUAGGCGGAUGCUUAAGUCGGAUGUGAAAGCCCCGGGCUCAACCUGGGAACUGCAU